This 497-nucleotide ribosomal RNA is filed under the name uncultured bacterium. RNAcentral's name for it is "partial 16S ribosomal RNA". It matches the Rfam family "Bacterial small subunit ribosomal RNA", at positions 28 to 507 of the family's 1533-position model. The record is from RNAcentral.
GAUGAACGCUGGCGGCGUGCCUAAUACAUGCAAGUCGAGCGAACAGACGAGGAGCUUGCUCCUCUGACGUUAGCGGCGGACGGGUGAGUAACACGUGGAUAACCUACCUAUAAGACUGGGAUAACUUCGGGAAACCGGAGCUAAUACCGGAUAAUAUAUUGAACCGCAUGGUUCAAUAGUGAAAGACGGUUUUGCUGUCACUUAUAGAUGGAUCCGCGCCGCAUUAGCUAGUUGGUAAGGUAACGGGUUACCAAGGCGACGAUGCGUAGCCGACCUGAGAGGGUGAUCGGCCACACGGGAACUGAGACACGGUCCAGACGCCUACGGGAGGCAGCAGUAGGGAAUCUUCCGCAAUGGGCGAAAGCCUGACGGAGCAACGCCGCGUGAGUGAUGAAGGUCUUCGGAUCGUAAAACUCUGUUAUUAGGGAAGAACAAAUGUGUAAGUAACUAUGCACGUCUUGACGGUACCUAAUCAGAAAGCCACGGCUAACUACGUG